CCAACAUGGUUUCCUUCAUAAAAAGUAGGACAAAGCUGAGUAUAUGCAGCUGUGUUUUAGUUCAUAAGAAUCAACAGGGAAUCAACAAAGAUGACAAAGUCUGACUUUGAGCCAGGACUUGAAGCAGACAUACUGGGCUCUUGCGAAAAAGCUUGUUCCCACAAGAUUGCCAGCCAAAUUUUGCAGACUCAAGAUGUUUGGAGAGUUUGAAUAAUCAUCACAAUUUUUGGACGUCUAUCUGAGGGCAAAGGGAAUCCAUUUGGGCUAAAGAAGGGCUGAUGUGAGGCAUCAGAAGUCAGGGGUCUUCUAUGAAAGUCCUGCGCAGGAGAGAGUCAUAUGUCUGAGCAUGUAAUUAUUCCUACAUAGAACCUGAGGACCACAGCAAGUUGAUGGAAUAAAAUAUUAUUAAAUUGUAUACCAUCUGUGCUGGUGGGAAA
Neofelis nebulosa (Clouded leopard) is the source of this 437-nucleotide long non-coding RNA. RefSeq lists it as uncharacterized. Lineage: Eukaryota; Metazoa; Chordata; Mammalia; Carnivora; Felidae. The transcript has 4 exons. The record is from RefSeq and is a predicted model, not a curated record.